UAAGAAUAGAAGAAAAUUGAGCAUGUUAGA
Molecule: non-coding RNA, 30 nt
Filed under: Mus musculus (house mouse)
Lineage: Eukaryota; Metazoa; Chordata; Mammalia; Rodentia; Muridae
Source: RNAcentral